GACGAACGCUGGCGGCGUGCUUAACACAUGCAAGUCGAACGGGGAAGUGCCUUUGUUUUUGGUGGGCGAGGAUGAGGGGCGAACGGGUGAGUAACACGUUACUAACCUGCCCCCUUCUACAGGAUAACCGCAUGAAAGUGUGGCUAAUACGGGAUAUUCUGGGUCUGUCGCCUGGUGGGUCUGGGAAAGUUAUUGAGUCGGUGGGGGCCGGGGUGGGGGCGUAUGAGCGUGUUGGCGGGGUGAUGGCCUACCAAGGCGGUGACGGGUAGCCGGGCUGUGAGGGUGGGCGGUCACACUGGGACUGAGGGACAGAACGGGCUUGUGCGGGAGGCAGCAGUGGGGAAUGAUGCACAAUGGGCGAAAGCCUGAUGCAGCGGCGCCGCGUGAGGGAUGGAUGCCUUGGGGUUGAGGAACGCUUUCGGAAGUGAAGGAGGCCUGCGUAGUUUGUAGGUGAGUUGACGGUAGCUGGAUAGGAAGCGCCGGCUAACUACGU
Molecule: ribosomal RNA, 493 nt
Filed under: uncultured bacterium
Lineage: Bacteria
Description: partial 16S ribosomal RNA
Rfam family: Bacterial small subunit ribosomal RNA
Source: RNAcentral